UACGGAGGAUCCAAGCGUUAUCCGGAUUUAUUGGGUUUAAAGGGUGCGUAGGCGGGGAAUUAAGUCAGUGGUGAAAGUUUGCAGCUCAACUGUAAAAUUGCCAUUGAAACUGAUUUUCUUGAGUGUAAAUGAGGUAGGCGGAAUGUGUUGUGUAGCGGUGAAAUGCUUAGAUAUAACACAGAACACCGAUUGCGAAGGCAGCUUACUGGGGAUACAACU
Molecule: ribosomal RNA, 219 nt
Filed under: uncultured bacterium
Lineage: Bacteria
Description: partial 16S ribosomal RNA
Rfam family: Bacterial small subunit ribosomal RNA
Source: RNAcentral